AGUGAACGCUGGCGGCGUGCCUAAUACAUGCAAGUCGAACGGAGUUGCGCACGGGUGAGUAAUAUAUAGCUACCUUGCCCAUUACUAAGGGACCACCGUUGGAAACGACUGCUAAUACCUUAUAGUAAUGGAUAGGGCUAUAUCGUAUCCGCUAGUUGGUAAGGUAACGGCUUACCAAGGCUAUGACGCGGAACUGGUCUGAGAGGAUGAUAAGUCACACUGGAACGGAGACACGGUCCAGACUCCUACGGGAGUCAGCAGUAGGGAAUAUGGCUCAAUGGGGGAAACCCUGAAGCAGCAACGCCGCGUGGAGGAUGACACUUUUCGGAGCGUAAACUCCUUUUCUUGGGAAAGCGGUACCCAAGGAAGAAGCACCGGCUAACUCCGUGCCAGCAGCCGCGGUAAUAC
RNAcentral lists this ribosomal RNA (408 nucleotides) under uncultured bacterium. RNAcentral describes it as "partial 16S ribosomal RNA". It matches the Rfam family "Bacterial small subunit ribosomal RNA", at positions 29 to 526 of the family's 1533-position model. The record is from RNAcentral.